GGCCAGCUGGAAGGCGCUCUCACCCUUGUCGGGGGUGAACGCGGCGAUGUAGACCAGUGCCUUGACGUUCGGGUUGCCGGUGGCCGCC
This 88-nucleotide transfer RNA is filed under the name Catellatospora citrea. RNAcentral's name for it is "tRNA-Asp". The record is from RNAcentral. Lineage: Bacteria; Bacillati; Actinomycetota; Actinomycetes; Micromonosporales; Micromonosporaceae.